RNAcentral lists this ribosomal RNA (305 nucleotides) under uncultured fungus. RNAcentral describes it as "eukaryotic LSU rRNA". The stretch from base 1 to 105 matches the Rfam family "5.8S ribosomal RNA", at positions 50 to 154 of the family's 154-position model. The record is from RNAcentral. Lineage: Eukaryota; Fungi.
GAAAUGCGAUAAGUAGUGUGAAUUGCAGAAUUCAGUGAAUCAUCGAAUCUUUGAACGCACAUUGCGCCCUUUGGUAUUCCAAAGGGCAUGCCUGUUCGAGCGUCAUUUGUACCCUCAAGCUUUGCUUGGUGUUGGGCGUCUUGUCUCUAGCUUUGCUGGAGACUCGCCUUAAAGUAAUUGGCAGCCGGCCUACUGGUUUCGGAGCGCAGCACAAGUCGCACUCUCUAUCAGCAAAGGUCUAGAUCCAUUAAGCCUUUUUUUCAACUUUUGACCUCGGAUCAGGUAGGGAUACCCGCUGAACUUAA